UUAUAGAAUGGACAGGCUUUUCUGAGCUAACCUGAGAACCUAACUCCUUUGUAUACCAUUGGAAUUAGAUCUCAACCCGUUUCCCAUGUCCCCCGUAGAAACUAACACAAGGCCUAUUGGGAAGUGGAUUCAGCUGUGCUUUAGAACUGCCUAAAACCCCUUCCAGGGGCGCCCCUCCAUCCCCUUGCCGGACCACCAGCCCAGUAGACCAGGUUGGGGGAGGCAGUCCCCAGCUCACCAGGCAAUCUCUUCCAAAGGGCUCCAGGGGCUUCUAACAUGCAACUAGGGCUGAGAACAGCUGCUAAGAUGAAAAAGGGGGUGGUAGUGGAUUACAGUUUCUCAGUUACCUGUUUUGCGCGGCAACACUGCCCGUGCAACCACCAAGCCAUGCUGGAUGGUGAGUCGUACCCACAGGCUGACUCUCCAGAUGAAGGAAGAAACGUGAGGACCCGCAGAACUUCCCUCGCUAUAGGAGAGGAAAGGAGUUUUGAGGCUAGAGGUUCCCGGAUUGAACCCAGGUCCUCAGCAAUGACGCGCAGAGCCCUAACCACUGGACCGCCAGGGAAUUCCCCAAAGCAGAACUCUAGACAUCAUGCGACAAACCGAAACGUGGGGACCCUCUUCCCAGAGGAAGCUACUGUCAAGAACAACUAGUUUUAAACUCUGCCAUGAAAGGAGCCGUCCCCUCAUUUACCACCCAGCCCCCUCAAAUCCUGUUAACCCUUCCUUCUAUUAAUAUUACUGAUCUGUGCUCUGCUGUUUCCCACCAUUUCUGCCUCAGGCCAAGGAAGUCAGUGCCUGCGUGCUUAGUCGCUGCAGUCAUGUCCGACUCUCUGCGACUCCAUGGACUAUAACCCACCAGGCUCCUCUGAACAUGGGGAUUCUCCAGGCAAGAAUACUGGAGUGGGCUGCCAUGCCCUUUUCUAGGGGAUCUUCUCAACUCAGGGAUCGAAACUGCAUCUCUUUUGUCUCCUGCAUUGCAGGCGGAUUCUUUACCACUGAGCCCCGCAAGAAGCCCAUACCCAUUGCCUAUUGCAAUAACCCUUCACUGUCUGUGAAUCUCUACUUCCUUCCAUGCCUCCCUCCAUUCUCUAUGCUGUCACCAGACUGAUGCUUCCAAAACGUAAGUUUCACUACAAGUGUCAGUCCAAGGUUUAAACACCCUCAGUGUUCUCCACUGCCCCUCCCAAACUUUUUCAUCUUAGCUGUGGUUCUCAGCCCCAGAUGCAUGUCAGAAGCCCCUGAAGCUUUAGAAAGCACAGCUGCACAGGACUUAGCUGAGACCCAUAGAAGCGGCAUCUCUGGGGGUGAAGUAGGGUCUGGUUAUGUGACAGCUCCAGCUGAUUCUGAUGAUCAGUGACAGCUGGGACCACGGUGCCAGCUGAGACCACCAUGCUCACAUGGCUGAGAUCAGUUCCUGCCUGUCUCUCCAGCAUGGCUCCCCACCAACCACUCCUCACCCCACCAAGAAACCAUCUUCCUCCCUGAAACACACCACACUCUGUCCAUUCUCACUUUCGCCAUCAGCAUCAGGGUCUUUUCCAAAGAGUCAGCUCUUCGCAUCAAGUGGCCAAAAUAUUACAGUUUCAGCUUCAGCAUCAGUCCUUCCAAUGAAUAUUCAGGGGCAGCAAGAACCCUACAGGUGAAAGAAUGCAAGAAACCACUCCAGUUUCCCACAAGUUCUCUGGCUACCAUGUCAGACGCCUCCUGAGCAAACAGCCCAUCAGCGAGUGGCCCCCUUCGCCGGAGCUACUAAGACAGCAGUCACCCGUUCAUCAGCAGCCCCAGCCCAGACCUGCAGAGUCAGAAGGGCUGGAGCACAGCAGUCCUCUUCCCCAGGCACAUCUGAGAAGCCUGAUUCAAUUUGGGAAGACCACCCACCAGGCACUCCACCCCCCCACUCUGAAUCAUCCCAGGAUUUGAUCCACUUUGCAAAGGUGGCUUUCCUUUUCUAAAAAGGCUGCACCCACUGGGGUGUGCACAGGGCUCCUGCGUCAGCGAGGUGGAGACUCUACCUGCAAACAGAUGAGAGGCCUCAGGACUGAGAGGCUGCACAAAGGGACCUUUAAAACCGACAAGGAAAUUAGCUCUUGCUCUGGCCCUAAGGAAGCUGGAUCAGGACUAAAGAUAUCUAGUCAGUUUCUACAAAUAUCUGCUCCUCAGAGAGGCUUAUGGAGCCCCCCAGUACUGCCACCAAUCUCCACCUCCAUCUCUUGAUCCUACUGUAAUUUUCUUUCAUGGCACUUAUCACUUCUGGAAAUUGUAUGGAUAUCUGUUGUCUAUUAAUUAUCAGCCUCCACCGAUAGAAUAUCAGCACAAGGACAGGAAUCUUGCAUUUGGUUCACUUCUAGAGCAGUAGGACUUAGAGUAGACCAGCAUGUAAUAGGGAGUAAUCAGUAUUUGUUGAAUGAAUGAAGGAAUGAAUGCAUGACAGCACACACACUCCAGCAGAGCAAGAACUGGCUCGCUCCGCUCUGUGAGCUCACCUCACGCUGCCUGGUAAGCAGGCAGAGCCUUAAAGUCUCCUUGAAUCAAUGAACAAGGUGCAAGCUUGUUUUUAAACUAUGAGCCCCAACACCUACACAAUACUUCAUCCAGACUGCCCUUUAUCAGGCUGAGCAGUUGCCAGGCUAUUGCUCAGUGCGUGUGUAAAAGGAGCCAAGGGGAUGCUGAACAUUUUAAAGGUUGACAAACAUUAUUCCAAAAGUAUGGCUUCGCAUUUGGCCAGAGGUUAAAACCUGGAGAACCCGAGGUAAUAAAGGACUCCCAAUCCUGAAGGAGGGUUGCAGCUUGUAGGGUAUUUGUCUUCCUCCUCACUCACUCACUCCUCCUGGUUCCAAAUACCAUUAUUUACCAUCACAGCAGUAAGAGGUCACGGCCAACCAAAUUCCAUUAU
This is a long non-coding RNA of Bos taurus (domestic cattle), 2896 nucleotides long. Lineage: Eukaryota; Metazoa; Chordata; Mammalia; Artiodactyla; Bovidae. The record is from Ensembl.